UGGCUCAGUUGGUAGAGCAUGGUGUUUGCAACGCCAGGGUUGUGGGUUUGACUCCCAU
RNAcentral lists this transfer RNA (58 nucleotides) under Salmo salar (Atlantic salmon). It matches the Rfam family "tRNA", at positions 8 to 63 of the family's 71-position model. Rfam says of the family: Transfer RNA (tRNA) molecules are approximately 80 nucleotides in length. Their secondary structure includes four short double-helical elements and three loops (D, anti-codon, and T loops). The record is from Rfam by way of RNAcentral. Lineage: Eukaryota; Metazoa; Chordata; Actinopteri; Salmoniformes; Salmonidae.